UAACUCAAUAGUUUAAUCGGUUAAAACAAGAACUUCAUAUGUUCGAGAUUACAAGUUCAAGUCUGGUUUGAGUUAA
Molecule: transfer RNA, 76 nt
Filed under: Pterocladiophila hemisphaerica
Lineage: Eukaryota; Rhodophyta; Florideophyceae; Gracilariales; Pterocladiophilaceae
Description: tRNA-Met
Rfam family: tRNA
About the family: Transfer RNA (tRNA) molecules are approximately 80 nucleotides in length. Their secondary structure includes four short double-helical elements and three loops (D, anti-codon, and T loops). Further hydrogen bonds mediate the characteristic L-shaped molecular structure. tRNAs have two regions of fundamental functional importance: the anti-codon, which is responsible for specific mRNA codon recognition, and the 3' end, to which the tRNAs corresponding amino acid is attached (by aminoacyl-tRNA synthetases). tRNAs cope with the degeneracy of the genetic code in two manners: having more than one tRNA (with a specific anti-codon) for a particular amino acid; and 'wobble' base-pairing, i.e. permitting non-standard base-pairing at the 3rd anti-codon position.
Source: RNAcentral